This 563-nucleotide ribosomal RNA is filed under the name uncultured beta proteobacterium. Its description in RNAcentral is "partial 16S ribosomal RNA". Lineage: Bacteria; Pseudomonadati; Pseudomonadota; Betaproteobacteria. The record is from RNAcentral.
CCCGCGGCAUGCUGAUCCGCGAAUUACUAGCGAUUCCAGCUUCACGCAGUCGAGUUGCAGACUGCGAUCCGGACUACGAUCGGUUUUCUGGGAUUGGCUCCACCUCGCGGCUUGGCAACCCUCUGUUCCGACCAUUGUAUGACGUGUGAAGCCCUACCCAUAAGGGCCAUGAGGACUUGACGUCAUCCCCACCUUCCUCCGGUUUGUCACCGGCAGUCUCCUUAGAGUGCCCUUGCGUAGCAACUAAGGACAAGGGUUGCGCUCGUUGCGGGACUUAACCCAACAUCUCACGACACGAGCUGACGACAGCCAUGCAGCACCUGUGCGCCGGUUCUCUUUCGAGCACGUCCACCUCUCAGCAGACUUCCGACCAUGUCAAGGGUAGGUAAGGUUUUUCGCGUUGCAUCGAAUUAAUUCACAUCAUCCACCGCUUGUGCGGGUCCCCGUCAAUUCCUUUGAGUUUUAAUCUUGCGACCGUACUCCCCAGGCGGUCAACUUCACGCGUUAGCUACGUUACUAAGGAAAUGAAUCCCCAACAACUAGUUGACAUCGUUUAGGGCGUG